UGGGGAGUAUUGCGCAAUGGGCGAAAGCCUGACGCAGCAACGCCGCGUGGAGGACGAAGGCCUUCGGGUUGUAAACUCCUGUCAGGUGGGGCGAACGGUAGUCGGUUAAUACCCGGCUGCCCUGACGGUACCACCAGAGGAAGCCCCGGCUAACUCCGUGCCAGCAGCCGCGGUAAUACGGAGGGGGCUAGCGUUAUUCGGAAUUAUUGGGCGUAAAGGGCGUGUAGGCGGCUUGGUAAGUCAAAGGUGAAAUCCCUCGGCUCAACCGAGGAACUGCCUUUGAAACUGCCUGGCUAGAGGCCGGGAGAGGGUAGCGGAAUUCCCAGUGUAGCGGUGAAAUGCGUAGAUACUGGGAGGAACACCAGUGGCGAAGGCGGCUACCUGGACCGGUUCUGACGCUGAGGCGCGAAAGCGUGGGGAGCAAACAGGAUUAGAUACCCCCGUAGUCC
RNAcentral lists this ribosomal RNA (449 nucleotides) under uncultured prokaryote. Its description in RNAcentral is "bacterial SSU rRNA". It matches the Rfam family "Bacterial small subunit ribosomal RNA", at positions 355 to 796 of the family's 1533-position model. The record is from RNAcentral.